RNAcentral lists this long non-coding RNA (303 nucleotides) under Olea europaea subsp. europaea. Lineage: Eukaryota; Viridiplantae; Streptophyta; Magnoliopsida; Lamiales; Oleaceae. The record is from RNAcentral.
CACGUAGCGUGCCAAAAAAAUAUCUUCUCUGCAUCUCCGCAUCUCUCUCAGGCAUAAUUCGAAAUUCAUUUGAUCGCUCAGCAAAAGAUAAAACUCAUUAGCAAAUUAUAUAAUUCGUUUUCCACUUCUAUUAAAUUCGCUGAAAAGGCGACACCAAUCAAUAUUAAUUUCUUAGUCUUCCCUUGGCGUUGCCUUUCAGGUGUUCAUAUCUUUUAAUUGCUUUACAUAAAUAAAAUUUAUUAGUGCACGCCUGCGAAAAAUUAUGGUUUGGACGUCAAUUCUUGAUACCCAGUAUUGAUAUGA